ACACAUGCAGUCGAGCGGUAACAGGUCCAGCUUGCUGGAUGCUGACGAGCGGCGGACGGGUGAGUAACGCAUAGGAAUCUACCCGGUAGUGGGGGAUAACCUGGGGAAACCCAGGCUAAUACCGCAUACGUCCUACGGGAGAAAGGGGGCUUAGGCUCCCGCUAUUGGAUGAGCCUAUGCCGGAUUAGCUGGUUGGUGAGGUAAUGGCUCACCAAGGCGACGAUCCGUAGCUGGUCUGAGAGGAUGAUCAGCCACAUCGGGACUGAGACACGGCCCGAACUCCUACGGGAGGCAGCAGUGGGGAAUAUUGGACAAUGGGGGCAACCCUGAUCCAGCCAUGCCGCGUGUGUGAAGAAGGCCCUCGGGUUGUAAAGCACUUUCAGCGAGGAAGAACGCCUGUCGGUUAAUACCCGGCAGGAAAGACAUCACUCGCAGAAGAAGCACCGGCUAACUCCGUGCCAGCAGCCGCGGUAAUACGGAGGGUGCAAGCGUUAAUCGGAAUUACUGGGCGUAAAGCGCGCGUAGGUGGCUUGAUAAGCCGGUUGUGAAAGCCCCGGGCUCAACCUGGGAACGGCAUCCGGAACUAUUAGGCUAGAGUGCAGGAGAGGAAGGUAGAAUUCCCGGUGUAGCGGUGAAAUGCGUAGAGAUCGGGAGGAAUACCAGUGGCGAAGGCGGCCUUCUGGACUGACACUGACACUGAGGUGCGAAAGCGUGGGUAGCAAACAGGAUUAGAUACCCUGGUAGUCCACGCCGUAAACGAUGUCGACCAGCCGUUGGGUGCCUAGCGCACUUUGUGGCGA
This 800-nucleotide ribosomal RNA is filed under the name Halomonas sp. RNAcentral's name for it is "bacterial SSU rRNA". It matches the Rfam family "Bacterial small subunit ribosomal RNA", at positions 51 to 849 of the family's 1533-position model. Lineage: Bacteria; Pseudomonadati; Pseudomonadota; Gammaproteobacteria; Oceanospirillales; Halomonadaceae. The record is from RNAcentral.